GACGAACGCUGGCGGCGUGCUUAACACAUGCAAGUCGAACGGAAAGGCCCUGCUUUUGUGGGGUGCUCGAGUGGCGAACGGGUGAGUAACACGUGAGUAACCUGCCCUUGACUUUGGGAUAACUUCAGGAAACUGGGGCUAAUACCGGAUAGGAGCUCCUGCUGCAUGGUGGGAGUUGGAAAGUUUCGGCGGUUGGGGAUGGACUCGCGGCUUAUCAGCUUGUUGGUGGGGUAGUGGCUUACCAAGGCUUUGACGGGUAGCCGGCCUGAGAGGGUGACCGGCCACAUUGGGACUGAGAUACGGCCCAGACUCCUACGGGAGGCAGCAGUGGGGAAUAUUGCACAAUGGGCGGAAGCCUGAUGCAGCAACGCCGCGUGCGGGAUGACGGCCUUCGGGUUGUAAACCGCUUUCGCCUGUGACGAAGCGUGAGUGACGGUAAUGGGUAAAGAAGCACCGGCUAACUACGUG
RNAcentral lists this ribosomal RNA (468 nucleotides) under uncultured bacterium. RNAcentral describes it as "partial 16S ribosomal RNA". It matches the Rfam family "Bacterial small subunit ribosomal RNA", at positions 28 to 507 of the family's 1533-position model. The record is from RNAcentral.